AUUGAACGCUGGCGGCAGGCUUAACACAUGCAAGUCGAGCGGGGGAAGAUAGCUUGCUACCGGACCUAGCGGCGGACGGGUGAGUAAUGCUUAGGAAUCUGCCUAUUAGUGGGGGACAACAUCUCGAAAGGGAUGCUAAUACCGCAUACGUCCUACGGGAGAAAGCAGGGGAGCUUCGGACCUUGCGCUAAUAGAUGAGCCUAAGUCGGAUUAGCUAGGUGGUGGGGUAAAGGCCUACCAAGGCGACGAUCUGCAGCGGGUCUGAGAGGAUGAUCCGCCACACUGGGACUGAGACACGGCCCAGACUCCUACGGGAGGCAGCAGUGGGGAACAUUGGACAAUGGGGGGAACCCUGAUCCAGCCAUGCCGCGUGUGUGAAGAAGGCCUUAUGGUUGUAAAGCACUUUAAGCGAGGAGGAGGCUACUCUAGUUAAUACCUAGGGAUAGUGGACGUUACUCGCAGAAUAAGCACCGGCUAACUCUGUGCCAGCCGCCGCAGUAA
This 501-nucleotide ribosomal RNA is filed under the name uncultured bacterium. RNAcentral's name for it is "partial 16S ribosomal RNA". It matches the Rfam family "Bacterial small subunit ribosomal RNA", at positions 30 to 523 of the family's 1533-position model. The record is from RNAcentral.